Molecule: long non-coding RNA, 2222 nt
Organism: Oncorhynchus tshawytscha (Chinook salmon)
Lineage: Eukaryota; Metazoa; Chordata; Actinopteri; Salmoniformes; Salmonidae
Source: Ensembl
GGCAGGGGGAGGAUAGGCCUGUUGCGUGGAUCUGGGCCUGGGCUACUGUUGUUGCAGUGCCUGAGGUGAGGGAGAGGUUGGGGUGCUGUCCUUGUCCUUUUUCAUUUCCGCUAUCUCUCCCUGGGUGGGUAAGUCCUGCACAAAAGAGCUGAGUGGAGCCUCACUGCCCUGGACCAUGACAGUGCCAUUCUGGAAAAUGUGUUCUAAAGCUGAACUCCACGCUGGGCACCAACUUAUUUGACUCUGACUACAAGAUGCUGCACGUGCUGGUGCCAGGCUCCAACCCCAUUGAGGUCCGUACCUCCCCCCUUCUCUUCAUCGCAUUUUUGCUGCCCGCCAUGACGGUGGAUGAGUUUCUACGGAGACGGCAUGGUGCAGAACCUGGCCCUGUUCCUCAGGGUUCCCACCAACAUGAUCCGUAUUACUAAGAUCGGAGGAUAGCGGCUCCAAGCAGAGGAAGAGACGCCCCCGGUCACACAGAUCAAAUCAAAUCGUAUUGGUCACAUACACAUGGUUAGCAGAUGUUAUUACGAGUGCAGCUCAAAAUUCAAAAGGCACUCGCACAUCUGAGCAAUCUUUUUGCAGGUGCAUGGUAAUAGUUGAACAAGAUGACAGACAAAGGAAUCCGCACACUGCUCUUGAUAGUAUCACUGAUCUUUAAUAAGCUUACGUAUCGGCCUCACGGCCUUUGUCAGAGCUUUUACGAGUGUAGCGAAAUGCCAGCAGCAUACCACCCUGCUGGCUUGCUUCUGAAGCUAAGCAGAGUUGGUCAUGGUCAGUCCCUGCAUGGGAGACCAGAUGCUGUUGGAAGUGGUAUUGGAGGCACUCUUUCCUCUGGUAUAAAAAUUAAAAACAAUGCCCCAGAACAGUGAUUGGGGACAUUGUCCGGUGUAGGGUGCCGUCUUUCAGAUGGGAUGUUAAACGGGUGUCCUGACUCUCUGUGGUCACUAAAGAUCCCAUGGCACUUAUCGUAAGAUUAGGGGUGUUAACCCCGGUGUCCUGGCUAAAUUCCUAAUCUGGCCCUCAUCACGGUCACCUAAUCUUACCCAGUUUAUAAUUGGCUCAUUCAUCCCCCCCUCCUCUCCCCUGUAACUAUUCCCCAGGCCGUUACUGUAAAUGAGAAUGUGUUCUCAGUCAAUUUACCUGGUUAAAAAAAUGAAUAGAUGCUUGUUCUUCCAGUUCCGACAGUGCAGUAAUAUCUAACAGGUAAUCUAACAAUUCCACAACAACUACUUAAUACACAUAAAUCUAAUUAAAGGGAUGGAAUAAGAAUAUGUUGAAAGCAUGCCGCCGACAGAGAUGGUCACUUCGAGUUCUUAGGAAACUAUGCCGUAUUUAGUUUUUUUAUGUAUUACUUCAUACAUUGUUACCGCAGGAAAUCUUAAGUCUUAUUACAUACAGCCGGGAAGAACUAUUGGAAAUAAGAGCAAUGUCAACUUACCAACAUUACGACCAGGAAUACGACUUUCCCGAAGCGGAUCCUCUGUUCGGACCACCACCCAGGACGGAUGAUAGCGGGGUGAACAGGCAGUGGCUCAGGUGGUUGUUGUCCUUGAUUAUCUUUAUGGCCUUCCUAUUAUUCUCUGUAGCGAAUGUAACAUCUGUCUCCAUGAAAUACUUUACUGGCAUGGAGGCAACUGGACUGGAGGGAAACACCACCAUGCUACUGGGCUAACUUCACAGAUAUGGCCAUACUCACCAGUGGCAUGCCCUCUCAGAAAAUUAUUAAAGAACACUCAAUAUUCACUCCAUUGUAGUCAUAUAGGGCAAUGGGUUCUUCACGAUUUGAAAGGGUGUGCUUCACCACUUAUUACAAAUGGCAAUGAUACAAAUAACUGUCAAUUGUAAGCAUAUGUGGGAACUCCUUCAAGACUUUUGGAAAAGCAUUCCAGGUGAAGCAAAUAUAAAAUAUAUUUUGAUUUGUUUAACACUUUCUUGUUUACUGCAUGAUUCCAUAUGUGUUAAUUCAUAGUUUUGAUGUCUUCACUAUUAUUCUACAAUGUAGAAAAUAGUAGAAAUAAAAACCUUUGAAUGAGUAGAUGUUUUAAAACGUUUGACCGGUAGUGUACAUAUACUGUAUAUUUUUACAAUAACAAACCAGAAAACAGACAGAUUUGGAGCAUCUGUUGAUGAAUGUAUAACUUCAACUAUCCUACAGUGUAAUGUUUGGUGAUUAUUGAAUCAAAAUUAUGUUUCUAUUAAAUGCUAGUUGCAACAUCAAA